UGACGACUUUGGGUCCACCUCCCACCCGUGUUUAUUUUACCUUGUUGCUUCGGCGGGCCCGCCUUUACUGGCCGCCGGGGGGCUCACGCCCCCGGGCCCGCGCCCGCCGAAGACACCCCCGAACUCUGUCUGAAGAUUGAAGUCUGAGUGAAAAUAUAAAUUAUUUAAAACUUUCAACAACGGAUCUCUUGGUUCCGGCAUCGAUGAAGAACGCAGCGAAAUGCGAUACGUAAUGUGAAUUGCAAAUUCAGUGAAUCAUCGAGUCUUUGAACGCACAUUGCGCCCCCUGGUAUUCCGGGGGGCAUGCCUGUCCGAGCGUCAUUGCUGCCCUCAAGCCCGGCUUGUGUGUUGGGCCCCGUCCUCCGAUUCCGGGGGACGGGCCCGAAAGGCAGCGGCGGCACCGCGUCCGGUCCUCGAGCGUAUGGGGCUUUGUCACCCGCUCUGUAGGCCCGGCCGGCGCUUGCCGAUCAACCCAAAUUUUUAUCCAGGUUGACCUCGGAUCAGGUAGGGAUACCCGCUGAACUUAAGCAUAUCAAUAAGUAAG
This 544-nucleotide ribosomal RNA is filed under the name Penicillium polonicum. RNAcentral's name for it is "eukaryotic LSU rRNA". The stretch from base 169 to 321 matches the Rfam family "5.8S ribosomal RNA". Lineage: Eukaryota; Fungi; Ascomycota; Eurotiomycetes; Eurotiales; Aspergillaceae. The record is from RNAcentral.